GAUGAACGCUGGCGGUCUGCUUAACACAUGCAAGUCGAACGAACUCUUCGGAGUGAGUGGCGGACGGGUGAGUAACGCGUGAGAAUCUGCCUGUGGGUCGGGGACAACCACUGGAAACGGUGGCUAAUACCGGAUGAGCCGAAAGGUAAAAAAUUUAUUGCCCACAGAUGAGCUCGCGUCUGAUUAGCUAGUUGGUAAGGUAAAAGCGUACCAAGGCGACGAUCAGUAGCUGGUCUGAGAGGAUGAGCAGCCACACUGGGACUGAGACACAGCCCAGACUCCUACGGGAGGCAGCAGUGGGGAAUUUUCCGCAAUGGGCGAAAGCCUGACGGAGCAAGACCGCGUGGGGGAGGAAGGUUUUUGGAUCGUAAACCCCUUUUGUCAAGGAAGAAGUUCUGACGGUACUUGACGAAUAAGCCUCGGCUAACUCCGUGCCAGCAGCCGCGGUAAUACGGAGGAGGCAAGCGUUAUCCGGAAUGAUUGGGCGUAAAGCGUCUGUAGGUGGCCAGCUAAGUCUGCUGUUAAAGAUCACAGCUCA
Molecule: ribosomal RNA, 538 nt
Filed under: uncultured bacterium
Lineage: Bacteria
Description: bacterial SSU rRNA
Rfam family: Bacterial small subunit ribosomal RNA
Source: RNAcentral